This 59-nucleotide ribosomal RNA is filed under the name Pasteurella multocida. RNAcentral's name for it is "partial 16S rRNA. Bacterial SSU". Lineage: Bacteria; Pseudomonadati; Pseudomonadota; Gammaproteobacteria; Pasteurellales; Pasteurellaceae. The record is from RNAcentral.
UUGAAUUGAAGAGUUUGAUCAUGGCUCAGAUUGAACGCUGGCGGCAGGCUUAACACAUG